Transfer RNA from Ktedonobacter racemifer DSM 44963, 72 nucleotides. It matches the Rfam family "tRNA". Rfam says of the family: Transfer RNA (tRNA) molecules are approximately 80 nucleotides in length. Their secondary structure includes four short double-helical elements and three loops (D, anti-codon, and T loops). Lineage: Bacteria; Bacillati; Chloroflexota; Ktedonobacteria; Ktedonobacterales; Ktedonobacteraceae. The record is from Rfam.
GGCCUCAUGGUGUAACGGUUAGCAUAGGAGACUUUCAAUCUUCUGACGAGGGUUUGAUUCCUUUUGAGGCUA